RNAcentral lists this transfer RNA (64 nucleotides) under Varanus melinus (Banggai Island monitor). Its description in RNAcentral is "tRNA-Tyr". It matches the Rfam family "tRNA". From Rfam's summary of the family: Transfer RNA (tRNA) molecules are approximately 80 nucleotides in length. Their secondary structure includes four short double-helical elements and three loops (D, anti-codon, and T loops). The record is from RNAcentral. Lineage: Eukaryota; Metazoa; Chordata; Lepidosauria; Squamata; Varanidae.
GGUAAGGUGGCUGAGUAGGCGGUGAAUUGUAAAUUCAUUUACGAGAGAAUUUUCUCCCUUACCA